This 466-nucleotide ribosomal RNA is filed under the name uncultured bacterium. RNAcentral's name for it is "partial 16S ribosomal RNA". It matches the Rfam family "Bacterial small subunit ribosomal RNA", at positions 28 to 507 of the family's 1533-position model. The record is from RNAcentral.
GAUGAACGCUGGCGGCGUGCUUAACACAUGCAAGUCGAACGGAAAGGCUCCUGCUUGCAGGGGUACUCGAGUGGCGAACGGGUGAGUAACACGUGGGUGAUCUGCCCUGCACUUCGGGAUAAGCCUGGGAAACUGGGUCUAAUAUCGGAUAGGACCAUCGUUUAGUGUCGGUGGUGGAAAGUUUUUUCGGUGUGGGAUGAGCUCGCGGCCUAUCAGCUUGUUGGUGGGGUAAUGGCCUACCAAGGCGUCGACGGGUAGCCGGCCUGAGAGGGUGUACGGCCACAUUGGGACUGAGAUACGGCCCAGACUCCUACGGGAGGCAGCAGUGGGGAAUAUUGCACAAUGGGCGCAAGCCUGAUGCAGCGACGCCGCGUGGGGGAUGACGGCCUUCGGGUUGUAAACUCCUUUCGCCAGGGACGAAGCGAAAGUGACGGUACCUGGAUAAGAAGCACCGGCUAACUACGUG